Molecule: ribosomal RNA, 468 nt
Filed under: uncultured bacterium
Lineage: Bacteria
Description: partial 16S ribosomal RNA
Rfam family: Bacterial small subunit ribosomal RNA
Source: RNAcentral
GACGAACGCUGGCGGCGUGCUUAACACAUGCAAGUCGAACGGAAAGGCCCUGCUUUUGUUGGGUGCUCGAGUGGCGAACGGGUGAGUAACACGUGAGUAAACUGCCCUUGACUUUGGGAUAACUUCAGAAAACUGGGGCUAAUACCGGAUAGGAGCUCCUGCUGCAUGGUGGGGGGUGGAAAGUUUCGGCGGUUGGGGAUGGACUCGCGGCUUAUCAGCUUGUUGGUGGGGUAGUGGCUUACCAAGGCUUUGACGGGUAGCCGGCGUGAGAGGGUGACCGGCCACAUUGGGACUGAGAUACGGCCCAGACUCGUACGGGAGGCAGCAGUGGGGAAUAUUGCACAAUGGGCGGAAGCCGGAUGCAGCAACGCCGCGUGCGGGAUGACGGCCUUCGGGUUGUAAACCGCUUUCGCCUGUGACGAAGCGUGAGUGACGGUAAUGGGUAAAGAAGCACCGGCUAACUACGUG